GACCAUUUUUCAUGGAUUGGGGAAUACAUGUUCGUGAAUAUUUUAUUUCGUGGUGCCAAAGUCUGUAACUCUUAACUUGGUCUUUUAAGUAAAAUUUUAUAUGCAUAUUUGAUUUCGUGGUUUUAAAAACGUCUGCUUAAAUUCCUGCAGCAAAUUUGUAAUUUCACAACGAAAUCCUAAAUAGGUGUCCAACGAAUAACAAU
RNAcentral lists this long non-coding RNA (203 nucleotides) under Mytilus galloprovincialis (Mediterranean mussel). The record is from RNAcentral. Lineage: Eukaryota; Metazoa; Mollusca; Bivalvia; Mytilida; Mytilidae.